CCUCAACCUCGGAUCUUACGCACAUAUAACACGUUUCUCUCUCUCUUCAUUGUGAACGCCUUCCAUUGCAAUCAAACCAAACCUCUUUCUCUCCAUUUUCCAGGACAACCAGAACACCAAAAGGAACAAGAAAGAAGAAGACAAGGAACUUGAAUAACCCUACUAAAUGAAUACUUCUCUUUGCCUGUUUGGUUGGUUGGAAAGUUAUGUGGAGGCCGAGGUUUUUCUUUGAGCUUUUUUGGACGGCUUAAAUUGCGAUAAACCGUUUCUUUACAAAUAGAAAGUUAAUAAUAA
Molecule: non-coding RNA, 294 nt
Organism: Camellia sinensis
Lineage: Eukaryota; Viridiplantae; Streptophyta; Magnoliopsida; Ericales; Theaceae
Source: RefSeq, a predicted model, not a curated record